Molecule: ribosomal RNA, 273 nt
Filed under: uncultured bacterium
Lineage: Bacteria
Description: partial 16S ribosomal RNA
Rfam family: Bacterial small subunit ribosomal RNA
Source: RNAcentral
CAUGCAAGUCGAACGAUUCCUUCGGGGAAGAGUGGCAAACGGGUGAGUAACACACUAGUAAUCUACCUCAAAGACGAGAAUAGCCAACCGAAAGGUCGGAUAAUACUCGAUAUGUUUAAGUAACUUAUGUUAUUUAAAUAAAGCUCCGGCGCUUUGAGAUGAGCUUAUGGUCUAUCAGCUAGUUGGUGGGGUAAUAGCCUACCAAGGCAAUGACGGAUAGCGGGCGUGAGAGCGCGACCCGCCUCAUUGGGACUGAGACACUGCCCAAACUCC